GCCAUUACUGACGCUCAUGGACGAAAGCCAGGGGAGCGAAAGGGAUUAGAUACCCCUGUAGUCCUGGCCGUAAACGAUGAACACUAGGUGUCGGGGGAAUCGACCCCUUCGGUGUCGUAGCUAACGCGUUAAGUGUUCCGCCUGGGGAGUACGCACGCAAGUGUGAAACUCAAAGGAAUUGACGGGGGCCCGCACAAGCGGUGGAGUAUGUGGUUUAAUUCGAUGCAACGCGAAGAACCUUACCAGGGUUUGACAUCCUGCGAACCUCUUAGAAAUUUGAGGGUGCCUUCGGGAAUGCAGUGACAGGUGGUGCAUGGCUGUCGUCAGCUCGUGUCGUGAGAUGUUGGGUUAAGUCCGGCAACGAGCGCAACCCACGUCCCCAGUUGCCAGCAUUUAGUUGGGCACUCUGUGGAAACUGCCGGUGAUAAGUCGGAGGAAGGUGUGGAUGACGUCAAGUCCUCAUGGCCCUUACGGGUUGGGCUACACACGUGCUACAAUGGGAAGUACAGAGGGAUGCGAAAGCGCGAGCUGGAGCCAAACCCUUAAAACUUUUCUUAGUCCGGAUUGGAGUCUGCAACUCGACUCCAUGAAGUCGGAAUCACUAGUAAUCGCGAAUCAGAAUGUCGCGGUGAAUACGUUCUCGGGCCUU
Molecule: ribosomal RNA, 649 nt
Filed under: uncultured cyanobacterium
Lineage: Bacteria; Bacillati; Cyanobacteriota
Description: bacterial SSU rRNA
Rfam family: Bacterial small subunit ribosomal RNA
Source: RNAcentral